Molecule: non-coding RNA, 24 nt
Filed under: Arabidopsis thaliana (thale cress)
Lineage: Eukaryota; Viridiplantae; Streptophyta; Magnoliopsida; Brassicales; Brassicaceae
Source: RNAcentral
GGUGUCUUCCCCAACCGAAUGGCC